AUUGAACGCUGGCGGCAGGCCUAACACAUGCAAGUCGAACGGUAACAGGGAUCAGCUUGCUGAUUCGCUGACGAGUGGCGGACGGGUGGGUAAUGUCUGGGAAACUGCCUGAUGGAGGGGGAUAACUACUGGAAACGGUAGCUAAUACCGCAUAACGUCGCAAGACCAAAGAGGGGGACCUUCGGGCCUCUUGCCAUCGGAUGUGCCCAGAUGGGAUUAGCUAGUAGGUGGGGUAACGGCUCACCUAGGCGACGAUCCCUAGCUGGUCUGAGAGGAUGACCAGCCACACUGGAACUGAGACACGGUCCAGACUCCUACGGGAGGCAGCAGUGGGGAAUAUUGCACAAUGGGCGCAAGCCUGAUGCAGCCAUGCCGCGUGUAUGAAGAAGGCCUUCGGGUUGUAAAGUACUUUCAGCGGGGAGGAAGGGAGUAAAGUUAAUACCAUUGCUCAUUGACGUUACCCGCAGAAGAAGCACCGGCUAACUCCGUG
Molecule: ribosomal RNA, 490 nt
Filed under: uncultured bacterium
Lineage: Bacteria
Description: partial 16S ribosomal RNA
Rfam family: Bacterial small subunit ribosomal RNA
Source: RNAcentral